This 828-nucleotide ribosomal RNA is filed under the name uncultured marine crenarchaeote. Its description in RNAcentral is "bacterial SSU rRNA". It matches the Rfam family "Archaeal small subunit ribosomal RNA", at positions 80 to 912 of the family's 1478-position model. The record is from RNAcentral. Lineage: Archaea; Thermoproteati; Thermoproteota.
GGCAGACGGCUCAGUAACACGUAGUCAAUCUACCCUAUGGACGAGGAUAACCUCGGGAAACUGAGAAUAAUACUCGAUAGAUCAUUAUGCCUGGAAUGGUUUAUGGUCGAAAUGAUUUAUCGCCGUAGGAUGGGACUGCGGUCUAUCAGCUUGUUGGUGAGGUAAUGGCCCACCAAGGCUAUAACAGAUACGGGCUCUGAGAGGAGAAGCCCGGAGAUGGGUACUGAGACACGGACCCAGGCCCUAUGGGGCGCAGCAGGCGAGAAAACUUUGCAAUGUGCGAAAGCACGACAAGGUUAAUCCGAGUGUUUUCUGCUAAAGAAAUCUUUUGUCAGUCCUAAAAACACUGAUGAAUAAGGGGUGGGCAAGUUCUGGUGUCAGCCGCCGCGGUAAAACCAGCACCUCAAGUGGUCAGGAGGAUUAUUGGGCCUAAAGCAUCCGUAGCCGGCUCUGUAAGUUUUCGGUUAAAUCUAUACGCUCAACGUAUAGGCUGCCGGGAAUACUGCAAAGCUAGGGAGUGGGAGAGGUAGACGGUACUCGGUAGGAAGGGGUAAAAUCCUUUGAUCUAUUGAUGACCACCUGUGGCGAAGGCGGUCUACUAGAACACGUCCGACGGUGAGGGAUGAAAGCUGGGGGAGCAAACCGGAUUAGAUACCCGGGUAGUCCCAGCUGUAAACUAUGCAAACUCAGUGAUGCACUGGCUUGUGGCCAGUGCAUGCCGCAGGGAAAGCCGUUAAGUUUGCCGCUGGGAAGUACGUACGCAAGUAUGAAACUUAAAGGAAUUGGCGGGGGAGCACCACAAGGGUGAAGCCUGCGGUUCAUUGGAUU